GAACCGAAAAAGAGGCGUAUCCGGAGCGGGGCCGGAGGGGAGUUCUUCUUUUCCGUUUCCGGCAAGAAAAGAUCCGGCGGGCCAAAAAACCGCUCGCUUUAGAGAACAAAAAACCUAGGGUUUCAUCAAAAACUCUGUCCACCUUUUUAUAGGAAAGAAUCAUCUCCGGCUUCCUCUUUGAAUCUCUCCCUUUCCUUCUUCCAGCUUUGGAAAGGAGCUGUUCAAUCGACUCUUAGAACCCUCAUCCUGCCGGUUGAAGCUUCCCUCAAAUAUGGGAGAUUAUAGAGGAAAACUUAGGAAAGGCAAUGCAAUUGAAGAAUAUUUACAUGAAAAAGGGGUCAUUUGUGUGCAUGCAUUUUCAGACCUGUCACAUAUUUCACCAGCAACAUUUGUAUAUCUUCUGAAGGAAUGUUACAUAUGUGGCACACACAAAGCAACUCGCAAGUUUCGUGUUCUUCAGCAGCAAGUUUCACGAGCCCUGUAUAAUGGACCUCAACCUGGACCAUUCACUUUUAUCAUUCAGUGCCUUUAUGUUGUUUCUUUACUGGGACCUAGUCAUGGUGAUGGGUUUGGUCACAUGCUGAUUUCUUCUCUUCGGAAUAUAAGAGCACUAAAAUCCAUACUAGAAGAUUUUGCUGAAGCAAAGCAUCUUGUUGUACAACUAUUUCUCGAUAAUUUUGCUUGUGCUAUUACUCACGAUGGGAAUAUACUUGUAAAGUUGUUGGAGGAAUUUGAUGUUGAGUUGAAAGAUAUUGGAGAUGCCAUAUGUGGUUCAGAGUUGAAUAAUGGAUGCUCAGACCAGGCAGAGGCAUAUGCUAAACAAUUUAUCUUUGGUUUAAUAGAAUCAAGGUCAUUUAUGGCUGCUGUAAAGCUGUCAGAACGAUUUUCCAUUCACCUUUCCGGGGAGUCUUUUCUUGUAAAGAUGAUGCAAUGCAAUCAAUUUGGAACAGCAGAAAGAUGGGCUACUUUUAUGGGAAAGCCAAUGAUAUGUUUAUUGGUCCAAAAAUAUUUGGACAUGAAUUUGCUGAAGCUUGCUUAUGACUUGGUAAAAGGUAACAAUCUUAUGCAGGAGUUUCCAGAUGUAUCCCAUUUAUAUAAAGAAAGUUCAGUAAGAAAACUGGCCGAAAAAGGGUGCUGGGAUGUUGCAGAACAGAAAGCAAACAAUGACAGAGAACUUAUAGAGUUCCUGGUGUAUCUGGCCAUGGAAGCUGGAUACAUGGAGAAGGUUGAUGAAUUGCGUGAGCGUUACCACCUUGAUGGUUUCACUAAAGUGGUUUCAGGGCCUAGGGAAAGCUCUUCUGGGGCAUAUUUUUUGGAUCUGAAGAAAUUGAAUAUGGAUGAUAUCAUAUGGGUUGAUAACAUUGAUGGACUCUUAACUGCUACAAACUAUAUCGAGGGAUGUAAAAUUGUUGGCAUAGAUUGUGAAUGGAAACCUAAUUAUGAGAGAGGCAGCAGACCGAACAGGGUGUCCAUCAUGCAGAUUGCUUCAGAAGUCCGGGUUUUCAUCUUUGAUUUGAUAAAGUUAUAUGAGGAUGAACGAGAAGCAUUAGGCAGUUGCUUGAGGCACAUUUUGUGCUCUUCAAACAUACUAAAGCUUGGCUAUAACUUGCAAUGUGAUCUUAAUCAGUUGUCAUAUUCUUAUGGCGACUUGGAGUGCUUUGAUUGCUACGUCAAGCUUCUUGAUAUUCAAAAUCUGUUCAAGGAGCCUAAGGGUGGUUUAUCUGGGUUAGCAAAGAAAAUAUUAGGAGCUGGUCUGAAUAAAACAAGACGUAACAGCAAUUGGGAACAACGGCCUCUAAGUGAGAAUCAGAAAGAGUAUGCUGCACUUGAUGCUGUUGUCCUUGUUCAUAUAUUCCAUCAUGUCCGUGACCAGCCUCAUUCAGGUGCUAACAAUGAGUGGUGCAAAACUGAAUGGAAAUCUCACAUUGUAUCGCGCAUUAAUAGAAGAAGGCCUACAAACACAUUAAAGUAGUCCAGAAUAUGGCAAUAGUGUCACCUACCAAUCCAUUUCGAGGUGCACUAGUGUUCAAGGAUGUAAAGUGUGAUUGUCAGUGUUGAGAAUCCCUUUUAUUGGCCAAGUGGCAAUUUGAUGUCCACAAUUACGUCUUCAAUUAUUAAUAAUUUCUUUAGCUAUAUAUCAUUAUUCAUUGAUUUUUGAUGGAAAAGAGGAAUCAUGACAAAACCCUACCCCCGUUCCCCCACCCCAAAUUAUCAGAAAGAAAAAUAUGUACAGAAGGGUAUCCAAGAAGCUAAUUCAUGGGAGGCAAGGCAAAAGAGAGAUUUUAAAGAAGCCACUUCCUUAUGCUGUUUGAGCCUUGUUAGAAUUACAUAAGUUUCUUCACUGCACAAAAGCAUUGAAGGCCGACCUCAACAUUGCUAUGAUGGAUGUUAAUCUAUUCUGCUUUUGCUUGAUGAAACAUCUAUGAAUUCUUUCCAUCAAAGAAACAUCUAUGAAUGCAGAAUCUUUAAUAACAGCUAAUAUGUAGCUGUACAAGGCUAUUCAGUGGUGCAGUUAUUUUAUCUGUAACAUCCAGGGUCUGCCAAUCACCCUGCUGGAGGCAGUGAUUGAGAUGAGAAAAAGCUGACUGGUGCCCCCGUGAGUGUAUGAUGUAGUUUUGAGAUGAACGAAGGCAGAUGGUGUAACCCCUUACCUGGGCUGGCCCCUGGUCAUCUUAUCCAACUUUGCAUGUUGGGUGGGCUGAGCCAUAUUCGGUUGGGUUUAGCCUGAUUGUAAAAAUUCUUGGCCUUUUCAAAGUCAACCACAUUGCUUUUUGCACACAUACAGGUACAGAUCGCAAUGACAGUGGAGGUGAAAUCUGGGCAAUCUAGAUGCGAUUAUCUGUGAGCAGCAACUGUUGCAAACUGCCCUUGUGAAAUUGUUUGUUGUCGUAGAGCGUUCAAUUUUUUGAGGUUGUUUAUAUUGUAGACUAUCGCUGUCAUGAACUGCUGAAUUUGGGAAAAGACUUGGAUAGUUAAAGUGACAUUACAUGUACCUGUGGACUUGGAGUGUGUGAGUUAGUGGACAGGUUGACUUGAUGAUCUGACUAUUUUUGCAGUCCCUGAUUUGUCCUUUUGGAGGCUGCAAUUUUUGAUGCCCAAGGAGAUCUUGGAUCUCUUAAAUGUUGGUUACAGACAUCCAAGUCAUUGCUUGAAUCAUCGUUGUU
Non-coding RNA from Elaeis guineensis (African oil palm), 3164 nucleotides. Lineage: Eukaryota; Viridiplantae; Streptophyta; Magnoliopsida; Arecales; Arecaceae. The record is from RefSeq and is a predicted model, not a curated record.